Non-coding RNA from Paramuricea clavata, 573 nucleotides. The record is from the annotation of a GenBank genome assembly. Lineage: Eukaryota; Metazoa; Cnidaria; Anthozoa; Malacalcyonacea; Plexauridae.
AGUUAGUGUUUUCAAUUAAAAGGGCUGAAAUGUGCCUUAAAAACCAUCACCUUUAACCAUGAUCUAUUUAAAAAUCAACAGAAGCUUUCUGAGAAUUCUCUCUGUAGCUCACAAAUCAAUUAAAUCGUUUCAAGAAAUUGAAACGUGCUAACAGUAGAAGUUCCUCUAACCGCUAUUCGAAAAGCAGAAAAUGUAUGGUCAAGCAGAUUUUUUUAGGGUAGCGCUGGACUUCUCUAGGGGGUGUUAGACACCACUAGGUGGGGUGCGCAACCCCUACAUGCCCACAGUAGAUCUGCCCCUGCCACUGAGCCAUGCAUAAAUUUCAAAUAUCGCAGUGUAAUUUAUGCAAAAGCACAAACACAUAGACUCGAUGAGAAAUUGAGCUAGAGUCAUGUGAUGCAGACCAUAUGAAAAGCAAAGAACAUUAUAAAACAAAAGUGAACAGAAACAGUCCCAGACAUUCCAACUACUGGAGGUAAAAUUUAGGGAGAUUGUUCAGUGAAUUGAAAUCUAGUUCUUCUUGGAAAAAAUAAUAAAAAUUAAGUCUUCUGAAAUGUUGUUAUAAGUGAUCAU